Molecule: long non-coding RNA, 993 nt
Filed under: Anas platyrhynchos platyrhynchos (common mallard)
Lineage: Eukaryota; Metazoa; Chordata; Aves; Anseriformes; Anatidae
Description: lncRNA (ENSAPLG00000019103.1)
Source: RNAcentral
UAUAUGCUAAACGCCAUAUAAAAGUUCCUGUGUGUUAAAGCUCCUCAUUCAGUCAACUUUAUUCUUCUAAAUGUGUUUCCAAUGGCUGACGGGGAUUUUUCACUGUCUCCGAGGGAGAUGCUCCCGCCGGAACAGGGGCUACAACAAUGACAUCCCCUCGCACUACGGAGGAUGCCAAGGGUGCUCCUCAAGCAUCGAGGGACGGGGCUCCUUCUUCUUUGGUGGGGAUGGCUCUGUCACCUGCAGCCGGGAAGCUUCGCCCUGCCCAAUCAUGCCAGCAUCCUCCACCUGCAGUGUUUCAGCGGGGUACAGCUGUGGCGGGGACGGGGCUGUUAUCAUAAGUAGUGGUGACAGUGGGGGGACGUCCGGCUGGAACACUGCAGGAGGCACAGUCCCAGCCUACAGCACCCGGCGGGGAGCAGGAUACGGCAUCGAGGACACGGGACGGAGAAUGGUUGGCAGCUCAGGGGGUGGUGGAGGAUCCAGCUGCUACUCUGGGAAUUUGGGCAUCGGUGCGGGAAGAGGCUCCAGCUAUGGAGGCUAUGCAUGCCACAGAGAAAAUGCUUUAACCGCAGGUGGGAGCAGCGGGGAAUUGGGGUUCUCUAGUGGAGCAUCGGGCUAUGGCAGUGGGGAGUUCUCCAGCCCAGAGCUGAGCUCUGGAGGUGCUGGAUCCUCCCAGGCCAUGCAGCAGAAGUGCCCCGUGGUCAUUCCCGACAUUGAGACCCAACAGAGCAAGAAGAGCUGCCACUGGCCCCCCAGCCAGAAGAAAUGAAGGACCCAGCAGCCGCCCCUGCCCAUGCAGACAUGCCCUGGAUGUGCCACGUUGAGGCUUUUCCCAUGGACCGGGAGCUUUGAAUUCCUUACAUCAGCCUGCACUUGUAAUGCUGUUGGGAGCACCUCUGGGAAAAGGGCUUCAUGCUUUGGUGGUUGGUUUGGCUUCCUCCUUUUUCUCAUGGCUUGGGAAAUAAAGCCUCAUUGUCUGAGGGAACUUCA